GUCGCAUUGGUUCAACAUAAUUUACUACCAACAAAGAAUGAAACCACAGAUGAAAUCUAUCAAAUUAACAUCCCACAAUCCAGAUAAUUAAAACAUAUAAUGUUAUACUGGACUAGGUUCACUUCUCGCAACUUCAAGUCUCAUUUCAGAGAAAAAGGUCUACCGGCUAAGAAACCAUUUCAGUUCAAGCGUUCACCAUAUUGAACUGGAACCUCGAUAGUUGUUGCGGGAUAGUAGAGAUAACAGGCCCAUAUCUCUGAACAUUGUCGUAGAGUUCAAAUAAUGGAACAGCAAGUAACUUUAGGUUUCUUGGAACGGCGAAGUAUUCCCUCUCCGACAGGUGAACAAGGAACAGCUUCUUGCAUUCCUUGGGCUUAGUGAUGUGGGGUGGGCAGUAUGGAUACAUUAUUGUCUCAAAGUUUGGCCUCCACCAGACAGCAACACACUCACCAAUCUGCCAAUUCGGCUGAUGCGAAGGUGAAUUAGCAGCCAGCUUGCUGGAGAGCUUCCGCUUCAAGCCUUCGAUUUCAUUCUCUCCAGGCUUUAGCCGUCCACCAGGGAGUUUGCAAAAUGUAUUCCCAAUUUGCAGAAGCAAUAUAUGUGGAUGGUUGUGCUCCUGCACCAGAAGAAUUGCUUCGACACUUGUCCGCAUGCCUUCUUUCAUAUAGUUGAUUUUCAUCCGGGCAAGGCGAUCGGCGACGGAGGUGUCCUUCUCCAUUUUCGGUUCCUUCAUCCCGAAAGUGUAGCUCGUCAGCGGGUACGUGUUCACCGUCGGCGACGUCACCAUCUCAACAGACGGCAGAGGCGGCGGCGGUAAACGAGAAAGGGGACGGAGCUGCUCCGGCGGGGCGAGACCGGCGUCGAUCGAGGGGAAUAACCCGGCG
Molecule: unclassified non-coding RNA, 884 nt
Filed under: Hevea brasiliensis (rubber tree)
Lineage: Eukaryota; Viridiplantae; Streptophyta; Magnoliopsida; Malpighiales; Euphorbiaceae
Source: RNAcentral